GGAAGAGCAACGUUCCCGGUGGGGCGCCUGGUCUUCAAAACCAGUGAGGCGUUUAANUGCGUCUGGUGGGUUCGACUCCUACCUCUUCCGCCA
RNAcentral lists this transfer RNA (93 nucleotides) under Porticoccaceae bacterium. RNAcentral describes it as "tRNA-Sec". It matches the Rfam family "Selenocysteine transfer RNA". Lineage: Bacteria; Pseudomonadati; Pseudomonadota; Gammaproteobacteria; Cellvibrionales; Porticoccaceae. The record is from RNAcentral.